Molecule: long non-coding RNA, 593 nt
Organism: Magnolia sinica
Lineage: Eukaryota; Viridiplantae; Streptophyta; Magnoliopsida; Magnoliales; Magnoliaceae
Exons: 2
Source: RefSeq, a predicted model, not a curated record
ACCACGUAGCUACAAGGUGCUGGGGUCCCCACGCAAAACGAUAAAUAUUGAUAAAAUUCACGCCUUCCUCGUCCAAAGCUCUCGUCCUUCUCUUCUUUCGGAAUUCGUCGUCUGAGAGUUCGGGGUAUUGCACGCACUCCCGAUGGAUUGGAAAGGCCAGCAGCAAUCGCGGCGUCUGAUGUAUAUCAUGCCUGUGGUCUUUGCUGCAUCAGCAUUCAUCACUGGCUACUGCACUGGCUCGCACAUGGUGAUGUUACUCAUAUACACCACUGGCGUCAUUGUGACAGCGGCAAUCACUGUUCCAAACUGGUCAUUCUUCAACCAACAUCUGCUGAACUGGUUGGAUCCUGUCGAGGCUGAGCCUCAUCCAAAGCCACAACCCAUGAUUUCAAAGACGAGGCGGUCGUUCUCUAAGCGUCGUCGUUAGAGCAGGUCUUGGAUCAAAUGUUAAUAUUUAAUUUGGCUUUUGUUUCUUCCUUUCCUUUCUGCAGUUUUCGGAAUGAAGCAUUUGUGUUUAGUGCUUGGAAUUUAAUGCAGUUUUAAUAGUUAUCCACUACUUUUUAAGGCUAGUUCAUCUGGAAUUAGGAUUGCAA